Molecule: long non-coding RNA, 600 nt
Organism: Bubalus bubalis (water buffalo)
Lineage: Eukaryota; Metazoa; Chordata; Mammalia; Artiodactyla; Bovidae
Exons: 4
Source: RefSeq, a predicted model, not a curated record
CAGCAUGUGGGAUCUUAGUUCCCCUACUCAGGAUGAACCUGUGCCCCCUGCAGUGGAAGCCUGGAGUCUUAACAGCUGGACUCCCUGGGAAGUCCCUGUCUGGGCGCUCUUGUUGAAAGUCAAUUGACUAUAAGUGCAAUGAGGCAUCAGUCUGCUACUAUUACUCCUGCAUUGUAACUCUCACCAAUCUUGUUACCUUGCCUCCCUUCUCCAGAGUUAUGGAGUUGCAAUGGACAUUCCUGUUUCUACCAUUUUGGGAUCAUGCGCUGCAGAGAAAUCCCUGUGGGCGACCGUGACCAAGCCUGACUCUGUGACCUGCCAGGCCAUCCCUUCGGUGUAGCCAGCCCCUUUCUCUUACUUUCUCUUCCCUCUGUCCCCUGAGGAAGCCCAGGACAGGGAACUGGCAACCUGGGCCACCAAGUCAGUCAGUAGAGCACACGUGGAAGGGGAGCCUGAUGGGCCAGGGCUGUCUUAGACCUUCAAUACAUCAGAUUUUGAAGGAAGGCCACCCAGUCUUCUCUGUGUUUCUCUGGGGGGCUUGUUCCUGGGAGUUGCAGUACAUGUUUGAUACUUCCUUGGAGAAUGUAUGCCAAAAAGGAA